RNAcentral lists this long non-coding RNA (421 nucleotides) under Olea europaea (common olive). RNAcentral's name for it is "long non-coding RNA (OEUR_LNC004798)". The record is from RNAcentral. Lineage: Eukaryota; Viridiplantae; Streptophyta; Magnoliopsida; Lamiales; Oleaceae.
GAGUGGGAGCCCAAUAGAAUUUCUCCAUACGACCAUCACGGAUGAGUGGCGCAUACAGUGUCGAGAAGUCAUUACCGGUGACGAUGAUCGGAACACGUGGGUUCUCCUCCUUGUUGUACAUACCAGGGAGUUGCACGUUGGUCGGGUUAUCGGCAAUGUUCAUUAGUGUGGCAUUAACCAUCUGGUUGUUGACGGUGUAUUGGGUGGUGCCUCCCAUUCGACCAGCGCCAGCAUCGAGAUCGUUAAUGAAGAGGCAGCACAUUUUCCCCUUCUUGAUAAUAUCAGCUGCUUCACGGUACCUUUGCCUAAUGAGCUUAGCAGGCUCUCCUGCAUUUCCACUUUCCAAUUCUCCAGCACUCAUCAUAAUUGGGCUGUAUCAUAGCCAUUAAUUUUAAGAUUAAAACCUGAUUAAUGUAAAUUU